GCUCCGGUGGCCUAUGUGGUUAGUGCGUUCGCCUCGAAUGCGCGACGCCGCGGAUUCGAACCCCCUGCCGAGUCA
Non-coding RNA from Potamilus streckersoni, 75 nucleotides. The record is from the annotation of a GenBank genome assembly. NCBI's taxonomy places the organism in Eukaryota, Metazoa, Mollusca, Bivalvia, Unionida, Unionidae.